Molecule: non-coding RNA, 194 nt
Filed under: Mangrovibacter sp. MFB070
Lineage: Bacteria; Pseudomonadati; Pseudomonadota; Gammaproteobacteria; Enterobacterales; Enterobacteriaceae
Also listed under: 1 other name
Description: Lysine riboswitch aptamer
Rfam family: Lysine riboswitch aptamer
About the family: Riboswitches are metabolite binding domains within certain messenger RNAs that serve as precision sensors for their corresponding targets. Allosteric rearrangement of mRNA structure is mediated by ligand binding, and this results in modulation of gene expression. This family includes riboswitches that sense lysine in a number of genes involved in lysine metabolism, including lysC.
Source: Rfam by way of RNAcentral
UAAGCCAGAAGAGGCGCGCCGCCCAGGUAUUAUGUCUGAGUAACCAGUACGCAGAUGGCAUAAGAGGGGGAGCGGCGCCGAGGUAACACGUAUCUGGUCGUACGCGUUAUCGGCUGCAGGGGCUGAAUCCCCUGGGUUGUCACCAGAAACGUCCGGCAGUCGUUCGUUUCGCAAGGUGGGGCGCUUCUGGGUGU